GGGAAGUAAAUACACAAGGUCCAGGGUCAGGCAGUAGUAACAUAGUAGCCUACAUUCAUUUGAUCAAUGUUGCGGAUACAACUUCAUUCAUGACUACCGAAGUGUCAGUGUUGUAUUUCGCCAAAAGUGCUGAGUUGACGGGACUCAAAUCAGAGACGAUCAGGGUCCCUUCAGAACUGACGACCCGAGACGAUCAGAGUCCCUUCAGAACUGACGACCCUCAAGCUGUGGGAGGACCUUGUCAACAGACACCCCAGACUGUUUGCAGUGCGUGAUUCAUUCGUUUUGGCUGUGCGUCAGGAGUAUGUGGCCCUUGGGGACCAGCGCAUGAGCCUGAGGGACGGUGACGAGGUCGCUGUCAUUCCACCUCUAAGCGGGGGAUAAAUAGGCCUGUUAAUUCAGAAGGCUAUCUAUCUCCACCAAUUUCAGUUUGACUUAUUUUAGCUUCCUCAACCCUCAUUCCUGACACAGAGAUGUCUGAAAAAGCUGACCCAUGACAAGCUCUCUGUGGACGCAGUGUCAGACUCUGUCACCUCCCCCUCCUGUGGCGCUAUUUCUAUCUUCAUAGCGAGGACAAGGAACAAUUUUGAGGGGAAGAAGAUGGUGCAGCUGGAGUAUGAAGCCUACGUCUCCAUGGCCCAAUCAGAACUCAGGAAGAUCUACACAGACAUCAGGGCAAGACUGGUGCCUGUGACUGAGGCCAGUGUGAUCAUCAGCAUCUCAUCUCCUCACCGAGGGGAUUCUCUGGAGGCAGUGCAAUUCUGUAUAGACACCCUGAAAGCCACCGUGCACAUAUGGAAGAAGGUCGAAAGACCCUGAUCAUGUAGUUACAGACAGAUAAGCAAAAUAGGUUGCUUAUAAUAUGUAAUAAUAAUAUAUGCCAUUUAGCAGAGCUUUUAUCCAAAUGCGACUUAGUCAUUCGUGCAUACGUUUUAAGUAUUGGUGGUCCCGGGAAUCAAACCCACUAUCCUGGCAUAGCAAGCGCCAUGCUUUACCAGCUGAGCUACAGAUGACCAGUUAUUGUUGUUACGGAAAUGCUAUACGUGUUAAUAUAAUGUUGCUACACAGGUAUAAGAGCAACUUAAUGUAUGUAUGGUGUAGUUAGUACAAUGCUGUCCACAAGGCAUAGGGUAUUCAUUAAGUAAGAGUUGUGUGAACUUCCACAGUGAAACUAAUCAUUGUCAAGUGACAGUCACACGGCUCCAGAGCCUGUCUGAAGCCUGUCUGACACAGUUUGAAUUAGUGCAUUAUGCUGCGUUCAUAACCAAGUGAUAAGGUGGUAUUCACCACAUAGCACUGGGAAAAAGCCAAUUGAACGCCCCUCCAACUGGUCAUUUCUAGUGGGCAACUUCUAUCAUCCUGAUCACAGACUUCUCCUACAUGCUGACCUCUGAUGGGACCUACUAAGGAAAUUACCUCUAUAACAGCAUUUUCGGCAGUUAAAUGUAACAACAAAACA
Molecule: RNA transcript, 1459 nt
Organism: Coregonus clupeaformis (lake whitefish)
Lineage: Eukaryota; Metazoa; Chordata; Actinopteri; Salmoniformes; Salmonidae
Gene name: molybdopterin synthase catalytic subunit
Exons: 6
Source: RefSeq, a predicted model, not a curated record